This 301-nucleotide ribosomal RNA is filed under the name uncultured bacterium. RNAcentral describes it as "partial 16S ribosomal RNA". It matches the Rfam family "Bacterial small subunit ribosomal RNA", at positions 509 to 807 of the family's 1533-position model. The record is from RNAcentral.
CAGUAGCCGCGGGAAUACGAAGGGGGCUAGCGUUGCUCGGAGUGACUGGGCGUAAAGGGCGCGUAGGCGGAAUGCUUUGUCGGGCGUGAAAUUCCAGGGCUUAACCUUGGGGCUGCGUUCGAGACGGGUAUUCUAGAGUGGAGAAGAGGGUCGUGGAAUUCCCAGUGUAGAGGUGAAAUUCGUAGAUAUUGGGAAGAACACCGGUGGCGAAGGCGGCGACCUGGUCUUUUACUGACGCUGAGGCGCGAAAGCGUGGGGAGCAAACAGGAUUAGAUACCCCCGUAGUCCCUGUCUCUUAUAC